GUCUAAUACACUCUUGGGAGAGGAUAGAAUACUUGAAGGAAUAAGGAAGAAGAGAUAAGAAGGUGUGAAGCUGGAUGAACACAGCAGGCCAAGCAGCAUCAGAGGAUCAGGAAAGCUGACAUUUUUGUUUUGUGGCAAAUGUGACUGAUCGGUCCAGCAACAACAGAGGUUAUUGCUGCAGCAGCAAAGAUGUAGAGUAAUAGAUGAAGAAGAGAUGCACCAGCAGCAAGACCCAGUAGAU
Molecule: long non-coding RNA, 241 nt
Organism: Stegostoma tigrinum
Lineage: Eukaryota; Metazoa; Chordata; Chondrichthyes; Orectolobiformes; Stegostomatidae
Exons: 3
Source: RefSeq, a predicted model, not a curated record